GUCGAGCGGACCGAACGAGGGCUUGCUCUUGUUUGGUCAGCGGCGGACGGGUGAGUAACACGUGGGCAACCUGCCCUGCAGACUGGGAUAACUUCGGGAAACCGGAGCUAAUACCGGAUAACACCGAAAACCGCAUGGUUUUCGGUUGAAAGGCGGCUUUUAGCUGUCACUGCAGGAUGGGCCCGCGGCGCAUUAGCUAGUUGGUGAGGUAACGGCUCACCAAGGCGACGAUGCGUAGCCGACCUGAGAGGGUGACCGGCCACACUGGGACUGAGACACGGCCCAGACUCCUACGGGAGGCAGCAGUAGGGAAUCUUCCGCAAUGGACGAAAGUCUGACGGAGCAACGCCGCGUGAGCGAAGAAGGUCUUCGGAUCGUAAAGCUCUGUUGUCAGGGAAGAACAAGUACCGUUCGAACAGGGCGGUACCUUGACGGUACCUGACGAGGAAGCCACGGCUAACUACGUGCCAGCAGCCGCGGUAAU
This 484-nucleotide ribosomal RNA is filed under the name uncultured bacterium. RNAcentral's name for it is "bacterial SSU rRNA". It matches the Rfam family "Bacterial small subunit ribosomal RNA", at positions 61 to 524 of the family's 1533-position model. The record is from RNAcentral.